This is a long non-coding RNA of Vigna radiata var. radiata (mung bean), 505 nucleotides long. RefSeq lists it as uncharacterized. The transcript has 2 exons. Lineage: Eukaryota; Viridiplantae; Streptophyta; Magnoliopsida; Fabales; Fabaceae. The record is from RefSeq and is a predicted model, not a curated record.
AUGCAGCAUCAAUGUGGCUGCAGUGUCUGCAAUUCCUUACAGUAGCAAGGUUACAACGAAAUUGGAACUUAAAUUCAUGCCAAAGUAUACGUGUUGCUCUGGAGUUAUAAAUUGCCUAAGAUAUUAACUCCCCCAAGAUACGGUGGUCAAUGGUGAAGAAUUAGCAAGCACAUAUUGCCGCAUUCUUUUAACAACCGAAGUGAUAUGAUAGCGUGGAGCUCACGAAAUGUAAGUGGAGAAGUGAAGCAAUUAGAAAGCAAUUGGAUGAUUUAAUUGCAUCAUUACAUAUUGCCGCAGGUGAAAUUCUGCAAAUCAAAGACUGGAACUUUGGGUUCCCUUUCAAGACCAUCUCUAUACAGCAACGCAGUAAGGGGAGAAGCAAUCUUUGCAUAAUCGCGGAUGAAGCGACAGUAGAAUGUACCAGUUCAGUCGUCUAAGUUUUUGGUAUAUUAAUUUUUUUAAUGCAUGUUAAAACAUCAGUGUCUAUUGAUAUAUUUUGAAGACU